CUAAGUCCUAACCCUUCGCUUAUAUAUAUAUACUGCUAUAUAAUCAGUAAACCCUAAAUCCUAAUUACAAUAUACUGCGCAGCUUCCUUCUUCUUCUUUGAUAAACGAUCUUCUUCGGUUCUUGUUCUUACUUCUUCGUCUUCCUCAUUUUCUCCCAAACAUUAAUAAGAAACAUCGCCGCUCUCUCCCGCUCUGAAGUGCUUCAGGUAAGUUCUUUUCAUAUUUCAGGUCAGCUUUAUUUUCAUUUUUUCGCCAAUUUCUUUAUUUCCCCAAUUUGUUUCGGUUCUAUUUAGACUUUUAAAUUUUGACGACUGAAUAUAAUGGCUGAUGUCGUUCUUAAUCUGUCUAAUUCUCGCUCCAAUUNNNN
Molecule: long non-coding RNA, 367 nt
Filed under: Nicotiana benthamiana
Lineage: Eukaryota; Viridiplantae; Streptophyta; Magnoliopsida; Solanales; Solanaceae
Description: long non-coding RNA (NBEN_LNC030875)
Source: RNAcentral